RNAcentral lists this unclassified non-coding RNA (231 nucleotides) under uncultured fungus. RNAcentral's name for it is "sequence contains ITS1, 5.8S rRNA gene". The stretch from base 183 to 231 matches the Rfam family "5.8S ribosomal RNA", at positions 1 to 49 of the family's 154-position model. Lineage: Eukaryota; Fungi. The record is from RNAcentral.
UCUCCGUAGGUGAACCUGCGGAGGGAUCAUUACAAGUGACCCCGGUCUAACCACCGGGAUGUUCAUAACCCUUUGUUGUCCGACUCUGUUGCCUCCGGGGCGACCCUGCCUUCGGGCGGGGGCUCCGGGUGGACCACCCAACCCUGCAUCGUUGCGUCUGAGUCGAAAUAUAAAUCAAUCAAAACUUUCAACAACGGAUCUCUUGGUUCUGGCAUCGAUGAAGAACGCAGC